This 373-nucleotide ribosomal RNA is filed under the name uncultured bacterium. Its description in RNAcentral is "bacterial SSU rRNA". It matches the Rfam family "Bacterial small subunit ribosomal RNA", at positions 525 to 896 of the family's 1533-position model. The record is from RNAcentral.
ACAGAGGUCCCGAGCGUUGUUCGGAUUCACUGGGCGUAAAGGGUGCGUAGGUGGUGAGGCAAGUCGGAUGUGAAAUCUCGGAGCUUAACUCCGAAACUGCAUUGGAAACUGCCUUGCUUGAGGAUUGGAGGGGGGACUGGAAUACUUGGUGUAGCAGUGAAAUGCGUAGAUAUCAAGUGGAACACCAGUGGCGAAGGCGAGUCCCUGGACAAAUCCUGACACUGAGGCACGAAAGCUAGGGGAGCAAACAGGAUUAGAUACCCUGGUAGUCCUAGCCGUAAACGGUGCGCGUUUGCUGUAAGAGGAAUCGACCCCUUUUGUGGCGAAGCCAACGCGAUAAACGCGCCGCCUGGGAAGUACGGUCGCAAGAUUA